Long non-coding RNA from Papilio polytes (common Mormon), 2141 nucleotides. RefSeq lists it as uncharacterized. The transcript is spliced from 2 exons. The record is from RefSeq and is a predicted model, not a curated record. Lineage: Eukaryota; Metazoa; Arthropoda; Insecta; Lepidoptera; Papilionidae.
CCCUGGCCCGCGCCGCUGCCCUACUGACAUUCACAAGUAUAUUGGCGUCUAUCGUCCUGCUGCUGAUGCAUCCAAACAGUAAGAAAACAUUAGAAAAAUAUUACAGCACUAUAAUUAUUAAAUCUUUAUAUCACUAUAGAAAAUAAUGCAAUAAACUUUUGUAUAAAACAACUGGUGCUCCACAAAUAUGCCAAUAUGUUAGAUAUAAGUUAACAAUAUGUACAUUUAUAGAUAGUAAAAUUAAAGAUUCAGUCAAAUAAUCUAUGUUUAUUAUACAUAUAUCAGAUCUUACGAAUCUGAUAUACUAUACAUAUAUAUACGAAAUAGAGAUCAUAGAAUAAAAAACACUAAAUCACAUACGUAUCUGAAAUAUGGCAUUUAUCUAUAUUUAAAUGUAAAUUUAUAUGUAUAUAACAACAAUUAGGGCCUUUCUCACCAAAUUGUGAAUCCUCUGAUUUGGUUCCCUUAUCUGACAGGUACGUCAUUUUUAAGUUAUCUGAGCCUCUAUCAGUCAGUGGUGGGAUAGGCCCUUAAUUUAAUAUUUUCGUAACGGCAAUAAUUAGAUUCUCAAUUGACAGCAAUUUUCCUUAUGGUCAAAUUGACCAUAAGUGCAAGGUUAGCUUUUCUAAAUAUAAAAAUCGUGUCAUGUUUUGGUUGUGAUCAUUAUUGCAAUGGAUAUUUCUGAUAUGUCUGUCAUACAACGAAUUAUUUAAAUUCACGGUUACUUCAUAGUGCAUAAUUUUUUGUGGUAUUAGUGGAUAUCGAAAUUUAUUUAAAAAUGUGCCAAUUUUAUUAACGUCAGUUAAAUUGCGAUUAAUGUUUUUUUUUAAAUAAUAAAGACAUUGUCUUAGUUUAAAAUAAGAGUUAAAAUAAUAUACGCAUAUGGAAUUGAGAUAGUGCAAUGUAUGUAAGGUAAUUACUGUCUUUUUAACAUAAGGUGCUAUUUCACUGUCCGUGCCUCGAUAGUAUUUAUGUAAGUUUUAUAAUAUCUUGUAUUAUAAUAGAGUAAUUAUAUAGAAUAUAGAAAUAAUUGUAAAUAGUUCAAAUGUUAGAUUAUUGUAAGAUUUCUAUGGCAAAAGUUAUUGCCGCAAUUCAAGCAUUUUCUGUCGUAUCACUAAAACAUAUCACAUACCAAUUUUACACUAGUUACAUAUUUCGAUAUAUUCAGUAACCAGAUAAAAGAUUUAAAAAAAAUAACCUUAAAAGUUAAUAACUUUUUGCACACUGCAAGCGAUAUCUUCGCUAUAAGAAUUUUUCAUCACCUUAGUAUUGCCAUAUGCCAUUUUCCAUUUCUAACAUUUGUUUUAUAUCUUGAAAAAAUAAUAUUUACAUAGUUUAUUAUACAAUAACUUAUAUUUCCAAUACUAAUGCACACUUUAUUCACACUUAAUGGCAAUAAUGAUAUAUAAAUAUAUUUCUAGUAGAAUAAGAUUAAUUUUUACAAUUUAAUAAAGCUGUUAUAAAUAGUAUGUUGAAACAAAUAACUAUCAGUUUUAAGAAUCUUUUUGUAGGUGUUAAGUAUGGUGACCUUGAAAUCUAUCUUGAUUUUGUAAUUUGCUGAAAAUGUAAUAUAUUGCUUGUAAAUCUAUAUUACAUUGGUUUAGUAUUCAGAUCAAAACAAUUUUGAAACUUACAAAUUAGUAUAGCUUGUGUUACGCAUUAACUGUGCAGCGAACUUUACGACUUUACAAUUAUCUUGUAAAAAGAUAAAAAAGGCUUUUUAGAAAUGUUUAAGCAUUUUAUUUGUAGGCGAUUCUUUUGUACCAGUGUCAUAAAUCAGUUUUCUAUUCAAAAUGACUACGAAAUUUGUAAAUAAUUUAAUUUUGUAUACGUUUAUAAAUAUUUAUAAUUUAAAUUACAUUUAUUAAAAUAUAAUUUUUUAACAAAUGUAAUUAUAUUAUCUGUUUUUCUUUAAUGAUGUACGUGUGAAUAAUUUUGAUAGAUUUUAAAAAUUAUUGACUCCAUCUAGUUGUAAUUAUAAUUAACGAAGUUGUGUUGCGUUUGCAAUUGGUAGCUUUUGUAAGUGGUAGCUUUAGUAUCACUAAGUUGACUUUGACACCGUUGCCUUAAUAUGUUGUAAUUGGUACUAAUAUUGACUGAUUUGAGAUUUUUUUUAUAAAAUAAAACUUCUGUACCUGUUU